UUCGUUUCCUGUUUCCCAAUCUUUAGAGGAGGUUUUUGCUUUCUUUCUUUCCCCUGAAAACCUCUUCUCCUUCCCCUCCUCCGUCAACGUCCACCAGCUCACGGCGGAGCUCUGUCAUUUCAUUUCUCUUCCCGCGGAAGAGCACAUUAACCGAGUGUUUCUUUUUAUUUAAGACAAAGCCUCGACGGAUACGAAUUGUUCCCGGAGGAUCUUUGAGCUAACAUUUAAUUUUGUUGAUAUGUCGUAAUUUGGGUGGGGAAAAGAGAGCUGAAAUUGAUCGAAUAUUUCGAAAUUCGUGGGGGGUUUUUUAUUCGGGUGGUGUGGGAGUGGGAGAGAAGUCCUCGUCGGUUAUUGGCUCCAGCGGCCGGUGUCCGUCGUAGAUCAGCGAAACGACGGCGCGAGUCUGCGGCGUCGUUUCAUUGUAACAGAAAGUUGUGGGACGAGAUGUGUGCGGCGACGGCAAC
RNAcentral lists this long non-coding RNA (464 nucleotides) under Linum usitatissimum (flax). RNAcentral describes it as "long non-coding RNA (LUSI_LNC002023)". Lineage: Eukaryota; Viridiplantae; Streptophyta; Magnoliopsida; Malpighiales; Linaceae. The record is from RNAcentral.